CCUACGGGUGGCUGCAGUGGGGAAUAUUGGACAAUGGGGGCAACCCUGAUCCAGCCAUGCCGCGUGUGUGAAGAAGGCCCUCGGGUUGUAAAGCACUUUCAGUGAGGAAGAACGCCUGGUGGUUAAUACCCAUCAGGAAAGACAUCACUCACAGAAGAAGCACCGGCUAACUCCGUGCCAGCAGCCGCGGUAAUACGGAGGGUGCGAGCGUUAAUCGGAAUUACUGGGCGUAAAGCGCGCGUAGGUGGCUUGAUAAGCCGGUUGUGAAAGCCCCGGGCUCAACCUGGGAACGGCAUCCGGAACUGUCAAGCUAGAGUGCAGGAGAGGAAGGUAGAAUUCCCGGUGUAGCGGUGAAAUGCGUAGAGGUCGGGAGGAAUACCAGUGGCGAAGGCGGCCUUCUGGACUGACACUGACACUGAGGUGCGAAAGCGUGGGUAGCAAACAGGAUUAGAUACCCGAGUAGUC
This 465-nucleotide ribosomal RNA is filed under the name Vreelandella stevensii. Its description in RNAcentral is "partial 16S ribosomal RNA". It matches the Rfam family "Bacterial small subunit ribosomal RNA", at positions 338 to 795 of the family's 1533-position model. Lineage: Bacteria; Pseudomonadati; Pseudomonadota; Gammaproteobacteria; Oceanospirillales; Halomonadaceae. The record is from RNAcentral.